UUUCGUUAUGUUGGUGUAUGUCUGAUUUAAUAUUAUUGCUUAAUGGUUUAAGUUUGUGUAUAUUUAUUUAAGUCAAGUCUAUGUGCUGCUUAUAAAAGUAUUCAUGCGUUACUUUAAUAAUAUGUUGGUUGAAAUAUUAAUUAAUUUAGGACUUAAUAGUAAUAUUUAAUUAAUUUGUAGAUGUGAAUAUAGUUUAGCUCAGGUACACACCGCCCGUCACCCUCGGUU
RNAcentral lists this ribosomal RNA (228 nucleotides) under Taenia martis (marten tapeworm). RNAcentral describes it as "partial 12S ribosomal RNA". The record is from RNAcentral. Lineage: Eukaryota; Metazoa; Platyhelminthes; Cestoda; Cyclophyllidea; Taeniidae.